UUUUUCGACCUGAACU
Molecule: ribosomal RNA, 16 nt
Filed under: Tylenchorhynchus sp. 2 CCN-2014
Lineage: Eukaryota; Metazoa; Nematoda; Chromadorea; Rhabditida; Telotylenchidae
Description: partial 28S ribosomal RNA
Source: RNAcentral